ACUGAUAUGGCAGAUAAAAUGCAAUGAACUUAAGAUUCAUUUAUAAAGAAUAUUCUUUUAUUAGUU
RNAcentral lists this transfer RNA (66 nucleotides) under Urochelellus acutihumeralis. RNAcentral describes it as "tRNA-Leu". The record is from RNAcentral. Lineage: Eukaryota; Metazoa; Arthropoda; Insecta; Hemiptera; Urostylididae.